GGACGUGGAUAGCGGAGAAAUUCCGCCUUACAAGCGGAAGGUCGCAGGUUCGAAACCUGCUGCGCCCACC
RNAcentral lists this transfer RNA (70 nucleotides) under Kutzneria sp. CA-103260. RNAcentral's name for it is "tRNA-Val". It matches the Rfam family "tRNA". From Rfam's summary of the family: Transfer RNA (tRNA) molecules are approximately 80 nucleotides in length. The record is from RNAcentral. Lineage: Bacteria; Bacillati; Actinomycetota; Actinomycetes; Pseudonocardiales; Pseudonocardiaceae.